CGGAGGAUCCGAGCGUUAUCCGGAUUUAUUGGGUUUAAAGGGUGCGUAGGCGGCCUGUUAAGUCAGGGGUGAAAGACGGUAGCUCAACUAUCGCAGUGCCCUUGAUACUGAUGGGCUUGAAUGUACUAGAGGUAGGCGGAAUGUGACAAGUAGCGGUGAAAUGCAUAGAUAUGUCACAGAACACCAAUUGCGAAGGCAGCUUACUAUGGUAUUAUUGACGCUGAGGCACGAAAGCGUGGGGAUCAAACAGGAUUAGAUACCCUGGUACUCCACGCCCUAAACGAUGAAUACUCGAUGUUAGCGAUAUACAGUUAGCGUCAAAGCGAAAGCGUUAAGUAUUCCACCUGGGGAGUACGCCCGCAAGGGUG
Molecule: ribosomal RNA, 368 nt
Filed under: uncultured organism
Description: bacterial SSU rRNA
Rfam family: Bacterial small subunit ribosomal RNA
Source: RNAcentral